CUAGUUUAUAUAAACAAAAGUGCUACGUUCUUUUAUAAAUAGAAUUGUAUAAAUAAACACAUAAUUUGACUUAAAUUAAAUUUCAAAAUUAUACUUAAAAAUCAAAUUAAAAGUUAAUUCAACUCUUUCAAACACUUUCAAUAUAAUGUAAAUGGAUUUUUAUUAUUAUAUGUUUCAUUUCAUCUCCCUGUUAUAUAUAAGUUAAUCACGGUAUUUUAUUAUGUAAAAAAAAUACAAGUCCCAUGUAUAAAGGAUAAUAAUCUCCUUCUUAUUCCCUACUUCCUAAAUACAAAAUAAUAAUAAUAAUAAUAAUAAUAAUAAUAUUAAACACUAUAUAAUCUUUCUCCCUGUACAAAUAGGGGUAGAUCAAACUCUAGAAUCAUCACUCCCAUGUAUUUUGUACACAAAACAACAAUUUCACAGAAUCAAUGCUUCAAAAUGAUCAUCAGUGAAAGUGCAACCAAAACUCCGAUCACCGGCGCCGCGGAGCUCGAAACAGAUCCUGCGGCUCCAGCGUCGGGAGUUGGCGCCGGCGGCAGGCCAAAGUCUUGAGCAUUGACGGCAGCAAAGAAGAGAGCGAUGAAGAGGAAAAGGGCUGAGAAGGUUGGCAUGGUGAAGAAGAAACUGAAACGGUUAUGGAAAAUUGAAAAUUUUGAAAAGUAGGUAAGUGAAGAAAGGAAUUGAGGAAGCUAUUUAUAGGAAUUAAGGAGGUGGAAGAAAACGUGGACACGUGGCAAGCGAAGAAGGGACUAAAGUGUGAAGGUG
RNAcentral lists this long non-coding RNA (765 nucleotides) under Phaseolus vulgaris (common bean). Its description in RNAcentral is "long non-coding RNA (PVUL_LNC002854)". The record is from RNAcentral. Lineage: Eukaryota; Viridiplantae; Streptophyta; Magnoliopsida; Fabales; Fabaceae.